Molecule: non-coding RNA, 125 nt
Organism: Lithohypha guttulata
Lineage: Eukaryota; Fungi; Ascomycota; Eurotiomycetes; Chaetothyriales; Trichomeriaceae
Source: the annotation of a RefSeq genome assembly
GCAUUCGUGGUUCAGUGGUAGAAUUGGUCGUUGCCAUCGACUAGACUCGGGGUAUGUUUCUCAAGGAUCUUCACAACCACACCUUAAUUCUGACGAUCUGUUCAGUUCGAUUCCCGACGAAUGCA